UACGUAGGGUGCAAGCGUUGUCCGGAAUUAUUGGGCGUAAAGAGCUCGUAGGCGGUUUGUCGCGUCUGCUGUGAAAACGCGAGGCUCAACCUCGGGCCUGCAGUGGGUACGGGCAGACUAGAGUGCGGUAGGGGAGAUUGGAAUUCCUGGUGUAGCGGUGGAAUGCGCAGAUAUCAGGAGGAACACCGAUGGCGAAGGCAGAUCUCUGGGCCGUUACUGACGCUGAGGAGCGAAAGCGUGGGGAGCGAACAGG
Molecule: ribosomal RNA, 253 nt
Filed under: uncultured bacterium
Lineage: Bacteria
Description: partial 16S ribosomal RNA
Rfam family: Bacterial small subunit ribosomal RNA
Source: RNAcentral